ACUUCAGAAUUAGAGACCUGAGAAAGAUCUCUCUUUCUCUCUGCCCUCUGAAGAUACAGCAGGCAGACAGCCAUCUAUAAGCCAGGAAGAGGACUCCUACUAGGACCUGAGCUGGGCUGUACCUUCAUCUUGGACUUGCCAGUCUUCAGAACUAUUUCUCUCCGGUGAAAUCAUUUCAGUGACUAAGAAAAGUUUCACCCGCUGGCCACCUGCUGUCUGGGAUGAGGGCUCUGUGGGACACCCAUCAUUGUUUGCACUGCUUGGUUCGAGUGACGCAAGACCCAAGCAGCAACCUGCGCCGGUAUUGGCCUCUCUCAGUGCCUCGGGCCUUGUUCUAGACAAUAUUUCUUUUUAGGCUAAGGGGUGGCAGGCUGCCCACACUGCUUUAUUCCCAGUACCAAAUGAAA
This 407-nucleotide long non-coding RNA is filed under the name Mustela putorius furo (domestic ferret). RNAcentral describes it as "lncRNA (ENSMPUG00000026103.1)". The record is from RNAcentral. Lineage: Eukaryota; Metazoa; Chordata; Mammalia; Carnivora; Mustelidae.